This 497-nucleotide ribosomal RNA is filed under the name uncultured bacterium. RNAcentral's name for it is "partial 16S ribosomal RNA". It matches the Rfam family "Bacterial small subunit ribosomal RNA", at positions 28 to 507 of the family's 1533-position model. The record is from RNAcentral.
GAUGAACGCUGGCGGCGUGCCUAAUACAUGCAAGUCGAGCGAACAGACGAGGAGCUUGCUCCUCUUACGUUAGCGGCGGACGGGUGAGUAACACGUGGAUAACCUACCUAUAAGACUGGGAUAACUUCGGGAAACCGGAGCUAAUACCGGAUAAUAUAUUGAACCGCAUGGUUCAAUAGUGAAAGACGGUUUUGCUGUCACUUAUAGAUGGAUCCGCGCUGCAUUAGCUAGUUGGUAAGGUAACGGCUUACCAAGGCAACGAUGCGUAGCCGACCUGAGAGGGUGAUCGGCCACACUGGAACUGAGACACGGUCCAGACUCCUACGGGAGGAAGCAGUAGGGAAUCUUCCGCAAGGGGGGAAAGCCUGACGGAGCAACGCCGCGUGAGUGAUGAAGGUCUUCGGAUCGUAAAACUCUGUUAUUAGGGAAGAACAUAUGUGUAAGUAACUAUGCACGUCUUGACGGUACCUAAUCAGAAAGCCACGGCUAACUACGUG